AGCCCCACGGUGGGCGCC
Molecule: small nuclear RNA, 18 nt
Filed under: Arabidopsis thaliana (thale cress)
Lineage: Eukaryota; Viridiplantae; Streptophyta; Magnoliopsida; Brassicales; Brassicaceae
Description: snRNA_08232
Source: RNAcentral